CGUAGGGUGCAAGCGUUAAUCGGAAUUACUGGGCGUAAAGCGUACGUAGGCGGCUUUGCAAGACAGGUGUGAAAUCCCCGGGCCUAACCUGGGAACUGCAUUUGUGACUGCAUGGCUAGAGUCUGUCAGAGGGGGGUGGAAUUCCACGUGUAGCAGUGAAAUGCGUAGAGAUGUGGAAGAACACCGAUGGCGAAGGCAGCCCCCUGGGAUGAGACUGACGCUCAUGUACGAAAGCGUGGGGAGCAAACAGGAUUAGAUACCCUGGUAGUCCACGCCCUAAACGAUGUCUACUAGUUGUCGGGGGGUAACUCCUUCGGUAACGCAGCUAACGCGUGAAGUAGACCGCCUGGGGAGUACGGUCGCAAGAUUA
Molecule: ribosomal RNA, 370 nt
Filed under: uncultured organism
Description: bacterial SSU rRNA
Rfam family: Bacterial small subunit ribosomal RNA
Source: RNAcentral